Molecule: ribosomal RNA, 384 nt
Filed under: uncultured bacterium
Lineage: Bacteria
Description: bacterial SSU rRNA
Rfam family: Bacterial small subunit ribosomal RNA
Source: RNAcentral
UACGUACCGUCCAAACGUUAUUCGGAUUCACUGGGCUUAAAGGGUGCGUAGGCGGCUCAGAAAGUAGGGUGUGAAAGCCCUCGGCUUAACCGAGGAAUUGCGCUCUAAACUACUGGGCUUGAGGAACGCAGAGGUAAGCGGAACUUACGGUGGAGCGGUGAAAUGCGUUGAUAUCGUAAGGAACACCAGGAGCGAAAGCGGCUUACUGGGCGUUUUCUGACGCUGAUGCACGAAAGCUAGGGGAGCGAACGGGAUUAGAUACCCCGGUAGUCCUAGCCGUAAACGAUGAGCACUGGAUUGGAGGCCCCCCCAUAGGCUUCUAGUCGUAGCGAAAGUGUUAAGUGCUCCGCCUGGGGAGUAUGGUCGCAAGGCUGAAACUCAAAG